This 341-nucleotide ribosomal RNA is filed under the name uncultured Hydrogenophaga sp. RNAcentral describes it as "bacterial SSU rRNA". It matches the Rfam family "Bacterial small subunit ribosomal RNA", at positions 1032 to 1382 of the family's 1533-position model. The record is from RNAcentral. Lineage: Bacteria; Pseudomonadati; Pseudomonadota; Betaproteobacteria; Burkholderiales; Comamonadaceae.
ACACAGGUGCUGCAUGGCUGUCGUCAGCUCGUGUCGUGAGAUGUGGUUAAGUCCGCAACGAGCGCAACCCUUGCCAUCAGUUGCUACGAAAGGGCACUCUGAUGGGACUGCCGGUGACAAACCGGAGGAAGGUGGGGAUGACGUCAAGUCCUCAUGGCCCUUAUAGGUGGGGCUACACACGUCAUACAAUGGCCGGUACAAAGGGCAGCAAACCCGCGAGGGGGAGCCAAUCCAUCAAAGCCGGUCGUAGUCCGGAUCGCAGUCUGCAACUCGACUGCGUGAAGUCGGAAUCGCUAGUAAUCGUGGAUCAGCAUGUCACGGUGAAUACGUUCCCGGGUCUU